RNAcentral lists this ribosomal RNA (484 nucleotides) under uncultured bacterium. RNAcentral describes it as "partial 16S ribosomal RNA". It matches the Rfam family "Bacterial small subunit ribosomal RNA", at positions 30 to 507 of the family's 1533-position model. The record is from RNAcentral.
AUUGAACGCUGGCGGCAGGCCUAACACAUGCAAGUCGAGCGGAUGAAGGGAGCUUGCUCCUGGAUUCAGCGGCGGACGGGUGAGUCAUGCCUAGGAAUCUGCCUGGUAGUGGGGGAUAACGUCCGGAAACGGGAGCUAAUACCGCAUACGUCCUGAGGGAGAAAGUGGGGGAUCUUCGGACCUCACGCUAUCUGAUGAGCCUAGGUCGGAUUAGCUAGUUGGUGGGGUAACGGCCUACCAAGGCGACGAUCCGUAACUGGUCUGAGAGGAUGAUCAGUCACACUGGAACUGAGACACGGUCCAGACUCCUACGGGAGGCAGCAGUGGGGAAUAUUGGACGAUGGGCGAAAGCCUGAUCCAGCCAUGCCGCGUGUGUGAUGAAGGUCUUCGGAUUGUAAAGCACUUUAAGUUGGGAGGAAGGGCAGUAAGUUAAUACCUUGCUGUUUUGACGUUACCGACAGAAUAAGCACCGGCUAACUUCGUG